UACGAAGGGGGCUAGCGUUGUUCGGAAUUAUUGGGCGUACAGGGCGCGUAGGCGGCAUGGCAAGUGGAAGGUGAAAUCCCUCGGCUCAACUGAGGAACUGCCCUCCAAACUGCUUUGCUUGAGUCCGGGAGAGGUGAGUGGAAUUCCCAGUGUAGCGGUGAAAUGCGUAGAUAUUGGGAGGAACACCAGUGGCGAAGGCGGCUCACUGGACCGGAACUGACGCUGAGGCGCGAAAGCGUGGGGAGCAAACGGG
RNAcentral lists this ribosomal RNA (253 nucleotides) under uncultured bacterium. RNAcentral's name for it is "partial 16S ribosomal RNA". It matches the Rfam family "Bacterial small subunit ribosomal RNA", at positions 524 to 776 of the family's 1533-position model. The record is from RNAcentral.